Molecule: ribosomal RNA, 253 nt
Filed under: uncultured bacterium
Lineage: Bacteria
Description: partial 16S ribosomal RNA
Rfam family: Bacterial small subunit ribosomal RNA
Source: RNAcentral
UACGUAGGGGGCAAGCGUUGUCCGGAUUUAUUGGGCGUAAAGAGCGUGUAGGCGGCCAGACAGGUCCGUUGUGAAAACUCGAGGCUCAACCUCGAGACGCCGAUGGAAACCGUCUGGCUAGAGUCCGGAAGAGGAGAGUGGAAUUCCUGGUGUAGCGGUGAAAUGCGCAGAUAUCAGGAAGAACACCCGUGGCGAAGGCGGCUCUCUGGAACGCAACUGACGCUGAGACGCGAAUGCGUGGGGAGCAAACAGG